Molecule: non-coding RNA, 31 nt
Filed under: Rattus norvegicus (Norway rat)
Lineage: Eukaryota; Metazoa; Chordata; Mammalia; Rodentia; Muridae
Source: RNAcentral
UGUAAUCAAUCCUACCCUUGGGAAUUGGAGG